AGUGAACGCUGGCGGUAGGCCUAACACAUGCAAGUCGAACGGCAGCACAGUAAGAGCUUGCUCUUACGGGUGGCGAGUGGCGGACGGGUGAGGAAUACAUCGGAAUCUACUUUUUCGUGGGGGAUAACGUAGGGAAACUUACGCUAAUACCGCAUACGACCUACGGGUGAAAGCAGGGGAUCUUCGGACCUUGCGCGAUUGAAUGAGCCGAUGUCGGAUUAGCUAGUUGGCGGGGUAAAGGCCCACCAAGGCGACGAUCCGUAGCUGGUCUGAGAGGAUGAUCAGCCAAAAUGGAACUGAGACAAGGUCCAGACUCCUACGGGAGGCAGCAGUGGGGAAUAUUGGACAAUGGGCGCAAGCCUGAUCCAGCCAUACCGCGUGGGUGAAGAAGGCCUUCGGGUUGUAAAGCCCUUUUGUUGGGAAAGAAAAGCAGCAGGUUAAUACCCCGCUGUUCUGACGGUACCCAAAGAAUAAGCACCGGCUAACUUCGUG
RNAcentral lists this ribosomal RNA (492 nucleotides) under uncultured bacterium. Its description in RNAcentral is "partial 16S ribosomal RNA". It matches the Rfam family "Bacterial small subunit ribosomal RNA", at positions 29 to 507 of the family's 1533-position model. The record is from RNAcentral.